CUCUCAGUGCAGAGAGUAUGAAAUGUCAGUGGCAGCAGGAGUGGGACCCAGGAGGAGCAGGAUGUAAUAUUGCCCUGCACACAGACACUGCUUCCAAGGGCAUGGUACAGGUGUAACUGAAAUGGCUUUAACUUCCAACUGCCCUAACCAACACCAUACCUGUAUUUGCAUGGGUUUCAUUAGAUGAGGCCUAAAAACAUCCUGGAAAGCACAGCAUCUAUGCUGAGCUCCUUACAUUCACAACAGGAUGGCUACUGGUAAUGGAAUAAUCUGGUUAAAUUUAUCUUAUAUAUCAAAGUCACUGCUUUGGAUUCUGGAGUUCUUGUAUAUGGGCUUCAGAUUUAGAGAUGGGAGCUUCUACAGGCAGUGGGCUGCCAACAGCUUUGGUGAUGGUGUCUCUUCUCCACAUAAUGUGCUUCAGAAAAAAAUGGUCUUUGCAGUGUGUUUUGAAGGUGGAUCCAUUCAGAUAUCUGAUAUGUUUUUGACCAAGCCUCUGCCAGUGUAUUAGCUGUCCUUGUGACUCUGUAGCUGCUGCCUUUCCUGUAUCAGUUAGGAACAUCCAACCUGAAAAUAAGUGGGUUGAAGUCACCUCAAGAGAAAUGAAACAGAGAUCUGCUGCCACCUUUUGAUCACUUGGAAAUCCUUCCAUGUCCCCAACACAGAAAACAGUGCCGUGGAAUGGAAGCGACUGUCUUUCACUAAAUGGUGAAAAUAUCCAUCUGUCA
Pseudopipra pipra is the source of this 725-nucleotide long non-coding RNA. RefSeq lists it as uncharacterized. The record is from RefSeq and is a predicted model, not a curated record. Lineage: Eukaryota; Metazoa; Chordata; Aves; Passeriformes; Pipridae. The transcript has 4 exons.